UACGUAGGGUGCGAGCGUUAAUCGGAAUUACUGGGCGUAAAGCGCACGUAGGUGGCGACGUAAGUCGGGUGUGAAAGCCCCGGGCUCAACCCUGGGAAUUGCAUUCGAGACUGCAUUGCUGGAGUACGGAAGAGGAAGGCGGAAUUCCCGGUGUAGCGGUGAAAUGCGUAGAUAUCGGGAGGAACAUCAGUGGCGAAGGCGGCCUUCUGGUCCAGUACUGACACUCAAGUGCGAAAGCGGUGGGGAGCAAACAGG
Molecule: ribosomal RNA, 255 nt
Filed under: uncultured bacterium
Lineage: Bacteria
Description: partial 16S ribosomal RNA
Rfam family: Bacterial small subunit ribosomal RNA
Source: RNAcentral